Molecule: ribosomal RNA, 497 nt
Filed under: uncultured bacterium
Lineage: Bacteria
Description: partial 16S ribosomal RNA
Rfam family: Bacterial small subunit ribosomal RNA
Source: RNAcentral
GACGAACGCUGGCGGCGUGCCUAAUACAUGCAAGUAGAACGCUGAAGAGAGGAGCUUGCUCUUCUUGGAUGAGUUGCGAACGGGUGAGUAACGCGUAGGUAACCUGCCUUGUAGCGGGGGAUAACUAUUGGAAACGAUAGCUAAUACCGCAUAACAAUGGAUGGCACAUGUCAUUUAUUUGAAAGGGGCAAUUGCUCCACUACAAGAUGGACCUGCGUUGUAUUAGCUAGUAGGUGAGGUAAUGGCUCACCUAGGCGACGAUACAUAGCCGACCUGAGAGGGUGAUCGGCCACACUGGGACUGAGACACGGCCCAGACUCCUACGGGAGGCAGCAGUAGGGAAUCUUCGGCAAUGGGGGCAACCCUGACCGAGCAACGCCGCGUGAGUGAAGAAGGUUUUCGGAUCGUAAAGCUCUGUUGUAAGUCAAGAACGGGUGUGAGAGUGGAAAGUUCACACUGUGACGGUAGCUUACCAGAAAGGGACGGCUAACUACGUG